UUUAGGAAGAAAGGAAGAAAGAACGUACGCACGCGAAGCGCUAAAAGAAGGGAAAUGUACUCACUGGACGCAGCCUGGCGAUCCAAGCCCGGCACUGCGCUCACAGAAGGCUGAGGCAAAGAAACAGCAGUUCCAGCAUCCACAGAAGACAUCAGCUGUGAUCCAGGCGCCACCUGCUGGACGGAUCCAUGAACUGCAGCAGCAUG
Molecule: long non-coding RNA, 206 nt
Filed under: Pelobates cultripes (western spadefoot toad)
Lineage: Eukaryota; Metazoa; Chordata; Amphibia; Anura; Pelobatidae
Source: RNAcentral